CAAUAGCGUAUAUUAAAGUUGUUGCAGUUAAAAAGCUCGUAGUUGGACCUUGGACCUGGACAGGCGGUCCGCCUCACGGCGUGUACUGUCUUGCUGGGUCUUUCCUCUUGGUGAUCUGUUGUUUCGGCAGCAGGGAACCAGGACUUUUACUUUGAAAAAAUUAGAGUGUUCAAAGCAGGCUCGACGCCGGAAUAUAUUAGCAUGGAAUAAUAAAAUAGGACGUGCGGUUCUAUUUUGUUGGUUUUUGGAAUCGCCGUAAUGAUUAGUAGGGACAGUCGGGGGCAUUAGUACUCACAUGCUAGAGGUGAAAUUCUUGGAUUUUGUGAAGACUAACUUCUGCGAAAGCAUUUACCAAGGAUGUUUUCAUUAA
Molecule: ribosomal RNA, 370 nt
Filed under: uncultured eukaryote
Lineage: Eukaryota
Description: partial 18S ribosomal RNA
Rfam family: Eukaryotic small subunit ribosomal RNA
Source: RNAcentral